This is a non-coding RNA of Populus trichocarpa (black cottonwood), 121 nucleotides long. NCBI's taxonomy places the organism in Eukaryota, Viridiplantae, Streptophyta, Magnoliopsida, Malpighiales, Salicaceae. The record is from Rfam.
UAGCAUGUCAGUGUUAGAUUUCCAUCUCAUUAUGUCAUAUUCUUACCCAAAUGUUCAUAACUUUUGAUUUUCACAAGCUCAUCUACAUCAAAAAGAGAAUGUAAUUAAAAGAUUACAAAAA